GAUGAAGGAACGCAGCGAAAUGCGAUAAGUAAUGUGAAUUGCAGAAUUCAGUGAAUCAUCGAAUCUUUGAACGCACAUUGCGCCCGCCAGUAUUCUGGCGGGCAUGCCUGUUCGAGCGUCAUUACAACCCUCAGGCCCCCGGGCCUGGCGUUGGGGAUCGGCGGAAGCCCCCUGCGGGCACAACGCCGUCCCCCAAAUACAGUGGCGGUCCCGCCGCAGCUUCCAUUGCGUAGUAGCUAACACCUCGCAACUGGAGAGCGGCGCGGCCACGCCGUAAAACACCCAACUUCUGAAUGUUGACCUCGAAUCAGGUAGGAAUACCCGCUGAACUUAAGCAUAUCAAUAAGCGGAGGA
This 354-nucleotide unclassified non-coding RNA is filed under the name soil metagenome. Its description in RNAcentral is "partial contains 5.8S ribosomal RNA, internal transcribed spacer 2, and large subunit ribosomal RNA". The stretch from base 1 to 121 matches the Rfam family "5.8S ribosomal RNA", at positions 35 to 154 of the family's 154-position model. The record is from RNAcentral.